AGGGUGUAAACGCUGCGGGCUCGGUGUUGGGGGUCCUUAGUGGGCGCCCAGUGCCGGAGAGAAGUUGUUAAGCCUGCUGCUUGGGGAGUAUGUCCGCAAGGAUGAAACUUAAAGGAAUUGGCGGGGGAGCACCGCAACGGGAGGAGCGUGCGGUUCAAUUGGAUUCAACGCCGAAAAAACUCACCACGGAGCGACGGAUAUAUGAAGGUCAAGCUGAUGACUUUACCUGAUUUUCCGAGAGGAGUGCAUGGCGUAGUCGUGU
Molecule: ribosomal RNA, 262 nt
Filed under: uncultured archaeon
Lineage: Archaea
Description: partial 16S ribosomal RNA
Rfam family: Archaeal small subunit ribosomal RNA
Source: RNAcentral